GGGGAUGUAGCUCAGUAGUAGAGUGCUCACUUAGCAUGUGUGGGGCCCUGGGUUUAAUUCCCAGUACUACAA
Molecule: transfer RNA, 72 nt
Filed under: Heterocephalus glaber (naked mole-rat)
Lineage: Eukaryota; Metazoa; Chordata; Mammalia; Rodentia; Bathyergidae
Rfam family: tRNA
About the family: Transfer RNA (tRNA) molecules are approximately 80 nucleotides in length. Their secondary structure includes four short double-helical elements and three loops (D, anti-codon, and T loops).
Source: Rfam by way of RNAcentral